CCUACGGGGGGCAGCAGUGAGGAAUAUUGGUCAAUGGGCGCGAGCCUGAACCAGCCAAGUCGCGUGAGGGAGGACGGCCCUACGGGUUGUAAACCUCUUUUGCCGGGGAGCAACGGGCGCCACGUGUGGCGUCACUGAGAGUACCCGGAGAAAAAGCAUCGGCUAACUCCGUUCAACAGCCGCGGUAAUACGGGGGAUGCCAGCGUUAUCCGGGUUUAUUGGGUUUAAAGGGUGCGUAGGCGGGUCGUUAAGUCAGUGGUCAAAUUGAGGGGCUCAACCCCUUCCCGCCAUUGAAACUGGCGUUCUUGAGUGGAAGAGAAGUAUGCGGAAUGCGUGGUGUAGCGGUGAAAUGCAUAGAUAUCACGCAGAACCCCGAUUGCGAAGGCAGCAUGCCGGCUUCCGACUGACGCUGAAGCACGAAAGCGUGGGGAUCGAACAGGAUUAGAUACCCUUGUAGUC
RNAcentral lists this ribosomal RNA (459 nucleotides) under uncultured bacterium. Its description in RNAcentral is "partial 16S ribosomal RNA". It matches the Rfam family "Bacterial small subunit ribosomal RNA", at positions 338 to 795 of the family's 1533-position model. The record is from RNAcentral.